Small nucleolar RNA from Sorghum bicolor (sorghum), 107 nucleotides. It matches the Rfam family "Plant small nucleolar RNA R71". Rfam says of the family: R71 is a member of the C/D box family of snoRNAs containing the C (UGAUGA) and D (CUGA) box motifs. NCBI's taxonomy places the organism in Eukaryota, Viridiplantae, Streptophyta, Magnoliopsida, Poales, Poaceae. The record is from Rfam.
UUCCAUGGUGAGGACAAUCUGAUAUAUAUCCUUGAAAACGCUCCCAUGCUUCUGGAAUGGUUUCUAUCUUCUGCUGUUGGAAACUGACAAUAUUUUCUCUUAAGGCA